GUAAUUUCAAAGUCUUCCAGAAGUAGCUGUAAUUUCUCAAAUGAUCAAGCAGCUUAGGAGCUUGGAUCCCACUUUCAGAGGCAACAGACACAUUGGAGCCUUAGUUCCUUGAUUUACAAUGCUUUGUUGGGAGUCCUGGUAGAAGUUUGGCAGCCUGUCAGAGACACCUGCACCCACGUGUAAGAAUGGGUACAUUCAACAGCUGGAAGAGCCACUGUGGAUUCAUACAGCAAUUUUCACAGCAGGAAAACAACAGCAAAAUAACGUGGACUAAUGAGAGAAAAUACAAGCAGUCAGCACUGCCAGGCAAAGCCUACUGCUUGUGUUUGAUUGACUGGGAAUCGUUCACUGAC
Molecule: long non-coding RNA, 353 nt
Filed under: Manacus vitellinus (golden-collared manakin)
Lineage: Eukaryota; Metazoa; Chordata; Aves; Passeriformes; Pipridae
Description: lncRNA (ENSMVIG00005015600.1)
Source: RNAcentral